UUUAAUAAAUAUAAUAAUAAUUAAUGCAAAUCUGUUAAAUAAAUAGUUAAAAAAAAUUUUUAAAAAUUGAAAUGACAAUAAAAGAAAAAAAUCAAAUAGUAAAAAAAAGGUAAUUUGAAUUCAUAUACAAAAGACUUAAGUGAUUUAAUAAUUAAAAGAAAAUAAAAUAAAUAGAAAUUUAAAAAUUCAAUUAAUAAAACAAAACACCUAAAUAAAAAUUUAAAUGGGCUCAAGUGUUCCAUGCAGUUCAGAAUAUUCAAUUAAUUAAAAAGAAAAGAAAAGUGUGGUGGCAUGUCAAAAAUUCAAGGCUGAUGUAAAAAUUAAAAGGAAAAACUUUAUUUAUAAUAAUAAAAUAAAAAAUUAAAAAAAAUGUUGAAAGUGAGGAAUUUUAUAGCACUGUAUAAUAAUAAUAAUAAUAAUA
RNAcentral lists this unclassified non-coding RNA (421 nucleotides) under Hevea brasiliensis (rubber tree). Lineage: Eukaryota; Viridiplantae; Streptophyta; Magnoliopsida; Malpighiales; Euphorbiaceae. The record is from RNAcentral.